Molecule: non-coding RNA, 213 nt
Organism: Vicia faba (fava bean)
Lineage: Eukaryota; Viridiplantae; Streptophyta; Magnoliopsida; Fabales; Fabaceae
Source: the annotation of a GenBank genome assembly
AUGAAUUUUGGAAGUGAAUAUUGGAUGAUGGUUUUCUCCAUAACGCAACAAUGUCUUUUAGCGUUAUAUUUGCCCAUUUGUGCCGAUUCCCAAUUUCAAUUACAUUUGCAAGUGAUUACUUUUGUUGAUGUUAUUAUUACAAGUUUUCAUAUCAUCGAAUACUCGAUCAUUCUAGUACCUAGGGAAAAAGGAGUACUUUGUUUCUCACCAUAA